This 253-nucleotide ribosomal RNA is filed under the name uncultured bacterium. RNAcentral describes it as "partial 16S ribosomal RNA". It matches the Rfam family "Bacterial small subunit ribosomal RNA", at positions 524 to 776 of the family's 1533-position model. The record is from RNAcentral.
UACGUAGGGCGCGAGCGUUGUCCGGAAUUAUUGGGCGUAAAGAGCUCGUAGGCGGCUUGUUGCGUCGGCUGUGAAAACCCAUGGCUCAACCGUGGGCUUGCAGCCGAUACGGGCAGGCUAGAGUUCGGUAGGGGAGACUGGAAUUCCUGGUGUAGCGGUGAAAUGCGCAGAUAUCAGGAGGAACACCGGUGGCGAAGGCGGGUCUCUGGGCCGAUACUGACGCUGAGGAGCGAAAGCGUGGGGAGCGAACAGG